RNAcentral lists this ribosomal RNA (2907 nucleotides) under Salmonella enterica. RNAcentral's name for it is "bacterial LSU rRNA". It matches the Rfam family "Bacterial large subunit ribosomal RNA". Lineage: Bacteria; Pseudomonadati; Pseudomonadota; Gammaproteobacteria; Enterobacterales; Enterobacteriaceae. The record is from RNAcentral. RNAcentral also lists the same sequence under 5 other names.
GGUUAAGCGACUAAGCGUACACGGUGGAUGCCCUGGCAGUCAGAGGCGAUGAAGGGCGUGCUAAUCUGCGAUAAGCGCCGGUAAGGUGAUAUGAACCGUUAUAACCGGCGAUACCCGAAUGGGGAAACCCAGUGUGACUCGUCACACUAUCAUUAACUGAAUCCAUAGGUUAAUGAGGCGAACCGGGGGAACUGAAACAUCUAAGUACCCCGAGGAAAAGAAAUCAACCGAGAUUCCCCCAGUAGCGGCGAGCGAACGGGGAGGAGCCCAGAGCCUGAAUCAGCAUGUGUGUUAGUGGAAGCGUCUGGAAAGGCGCGCGAUACAGGGUGACAGCCCCGUACACAAAAGCGCAUGUGCUGUGAGCUCGAUGAGUAGGGCGGGACACGUGGUAUCCUGUCUGAAUAUGGGGGGACCAUCCUCCAAGGCUAAAUACUCCUGACUGACCGAUAGUGAACCAGUACCGUGAGGGAAAGGCGAAAAGAACCCCGGCGAGGGGAGUGAAAAAGAACCUGAAACCGUGUACGUACAAGCAGUGGGAGCACAGGUUUACCUGUGUGACUGCGUACCUUUUGUAUAAUGGGUCAGCGACUUAUAUUCUGUAGCAAGGUUAACCGAAUAGGGGAGCCGGAGGGAAACCGAGUCUUAAUUGGGCGUUAAGUUGCAGGGUAUAGACCCGAAACCCGGUGAUCUAGCCAUGGGCAGGUUGAAGGUUGGGUAACACUAACUGGAGGACCGAACCGACUAAUGUUGAAAAAUUAGCGGAUGACCUGUGGCUGGGGGUGAAAGGCCAAUCAAACCGGGAGAUAGCUGGUUCUCCCCGAAAGCUAUUUAGGUAGCGCCUCGUGAAUUCAUCUCCGGGGGUAGAGCACUGUUUCGGCUAGGGGGCCAUCCCGGCUUACCAACCCGAUGCAAACUGCGAAUACCGGAGAAUGUUAUCACGGGAGACACACGGCGGGUGCUAACGUCCGUCGUGAAGAGGGAAACAACCCAGACCGCCAGCUAAGGUCCCAAAGUCAUGGUUAAGUGGGAAACGAUGUGGGAAGGCCCAGACAGCCAGGAUGUUGGCUUAGAAGCAGCCAUCAUUUAAAGAAAGCGUAAUAGCUCACUGGUCGAGUCGGCCUGCGCGGAAGAUGUAACGGGGCUAAACCAUGCACCGAAGCUGCGGCAGCGACACUGUGUGUUGUUGGGUAGGGGAGCGUUCUGUAAGCCUGCGAAGGUGGCCUGUGAGGGUUGCUGGAGGUAUCAGAAGUGCGAAUGCUGACAUAAGUAACGAUAAAGCGGGUGAAAAGCCCGCUCGCCGGAAGACCAAGGGUUCCUGUCCAACGUUAAUCGGGGCAGGGUGAGUCGACCCCUAAGGCGAGGCCGAAAGGCGUAGUCGAUGGGAAACGGGUUAAUAUUCCCGUACUUGGUGUUACUGCGAAGGGGGGACGGAGAAGGCUAUGUUGGCCGGGCGACGGUUGUCCCGGUUUAAGCGUGUAGGUGUGUGUUCCAGGUAAAUCCGGUUCACUUUAACACUGAGGCGUGACGACGAGGCACUACGGUGCUGAAGCAACAAAUGCCCUGCUUCCAGGAAAAGCCUCUAAGCAUCAGGUAACAUCAAAUCGUACCCCAAACCGACACAGGUGGUCAGGUAGAGAAUACCAAGGCGCUUGAGAGAACUCGGGUGAAGGAACUAGGCAAAAUGGUGCCGUAACUUCGGGAGAAGGCACGCUGACACGUAGGUGAAGUGAUUUACUCAUGGAGCUGAAGUCAGUCGAAGAUACCAGCUGGCUGCAACUGUUUAUUAAAAACACAGCACUGUGCAAACACGAAAGUGGACGUAUACGGUGUGACGCCUGCCCGGUGCCGGAAGGUUAAUUGAUGGGGUCAGCGCAAGCGAAGCUCCUGAUCGAAGCCCCGGUAAACGGCGGCCGUAACUAUAACGGUCCUAAGGUAGCGAAAUUCCUUGUCGGGUAAGUUCCGACCUGCACGAAUGGCGUAAUGAUGGCCAGGCUGUCUCCACCCGAGACUCAGUGAAAUUGAACUCGCUGUGAAGAUGCAGUGUACCCGCGGCAAGACGGAAAGACCCCGUGAACCUUUACUAUAGCUUGACACUGAACAUUGAGCCUUGAUGUGUAGGAUAGGUGGGAGGCUUUGAAGUGUGGACGCCAGUCUGCAUGGAGCCGACCUUGAAAUACCACCCUUUAAUGUUUGAUGUUCUAACGUGGACCCGUUACCCGGGUUGCGGACAGUGUCUGGUGGGUAGUUUGACUGGGGCGGUCUCCUCCUAAAGAGUAACGGAGGAGCACGAAGGUUGGCUAAUCCUGGUCGGACAUCAGGAGGUUAGUGCAAUGGCAUAAGCCAGCUUGACUGCGAGCGUGACGGCGCGAGCAGGUGCGAAAGCAGGUCAUAGUGAUCCGGUGGUUCUGAAUGGAAGGGCCAUCGCUCAACGGAUAAAAGGUACUCCGGGGAUAACAGGCUGAUACCGCCCAAGAGUUCAUAUCGACGGCGGUGUUUGGCACCUCGAUGUCGGCUCAUCACAUCCUGGGGCUGAAGUAGGUCCCAAGGGUAUGGCUGUUCGCCAUUUAAAGUGGUACGCGAGCUGGGUUUAGAACGUCGUGAGACAGUUCGGUCCCUAUCUGCCGUGGGCGCUGGAGAACUGAGGGGGGCUGCUCCUAGUACGAGAGGACCGGAGUGGACGCAUCACUGGUGUUCGGGUUGUCAUGCCAAUGGCACUGCCCGGUAGCUAAAUGCGGAAGAGAUAAGUGCUGAAAGCAUCUAAGCACGAAACUUGCCCCGAGAUGAGUUCUCCCUGAGACUUAAAGUCUCCUGAAGGAACGUUGAAGACGACGACGUUGAUAGGCCGGGUGUGUAAGCGCAGCGAUGCGUUGAGCUAACCGGUACUAAUGAACCGUGAGGCUUAACCUU